RNAcentral lists this long non-coding RNA (295 nucleotides) under Homo sapiens (human). RNAcentral's name for it is "HSALNT0316352". The record is from RNAcentral. Lineage: Eukaryota; Metazoa; Chordata; Mammalia; Primates; Hominidae.
AUGAUGAAGUCCAAGAAUUGACUGGAGGGUCUGGUAGGACAGAGGAUGGCCGAUACUAGGCAUGCAUGUGCAUACAGAAAAGAGAGUAACCCAAUAGUGAGGAAGAAAUUGAUGCUGCAGGAGAGAGGGAAUAAUUGCCGAAGCAAAGAUCUUGAGGUACUGAGAAAGGAUGACCCUAAUUUCCUUAAUGCUGCAGCCUGCUUCCACUGAGGGACUGGAGGCUCCUUGAGCAAAAUUAUCUACCUCUUCACCUUUGGAUCUUUCACAGUUCCCAGUUCGGUGUACUACAGAUUGU